RNAcentral lists this ribosomal RNA (460 nucleotides) under uncultured bacterium. Its description in RNAcentral is "partial 16S ribosomal RNA". It matches the Rfam family "Bacterial small subunit ribosomal RNA", at positions 338 to 795 of the family's 1533-position model. The record is from RNAcentral.
CCUACGGGAGGCAGCAGUGAGGAAUAUUGGUCAAUGGACGAGAGUCUGAACCAGCCAAGUAGCGUGAAGGAUGACUGCCCUAUGGGUUGUAACCUUCUUUUAUAAAGGAAUAAAACGAGGCACGUGUGCCUUUUUGCAUGUACUUUAUGAAUAAGGAUCGGCUAACUCCGUGCCAGCAGCCGCGGUAAUACGGAGGAUCCGAGCGUUAUCCGGAUUUAUUGGGUUUAAAGGGAGCGUAGAUGGGUUGUUAAGUCAGUUGUGAAAGUUUGCGGCUCAACCGUAAAAUUGCAAUUGAUACUGGCAGUCUUGAGUACAGGUGAGGUAGGCGGAAUUUGUGGUGUAGCGGUGAAAUGCGUAGAUAUCACGAAGAACCCCGAUUGCGAAGGCAGCUUACUAAACUGUGACUGACAUUGAUGCUCGAAAGUGUGGGUAUCAAACAGGAUUAGAUACCCGUGUAGUC